GUCUUAGUAAGAACUAGCACUAGACUUCUUCCCCCCUUUCUUUUCUACUUUUUCUCUCUCCUUUUGUUUGUGCUUCCACCCGGGCUUUUCAUUCUGUUUUAUAGAGACCCGGGGAAAUUCUAUAUAAUAAUAAAUGUAGAAAGGUGAGGGUGAGGUACUUUCCCCGGCAUACGGAAAGAAAAUCCAGGACGACGGCUUUCAAAAGACGAGUAAGGGACGGGGAGAGGGAGGCUCUCGAAACCAAACGAGACUAGAAAGAACAUGGGAAUUAGCACCAUUCAUAUGAGUGCUUUUGUCUCUUCGAGACAA
Molecule: long non-coding RNA, 309 nt
Filed under: Nicotiana benthamiana
Lineage: Eukaryota; Viridiplantae; Streptophyta; Magnoliopsida; Solanales; Solanaceae
Description: long non-coding RNA (NBEN_LNC040315)
Source: RNAcentral